This 496-nucleotide ribosomal RNA is filed under the name uncultured bacterium. Its description in RNAcentral is "partial 16S ribosomal RNA". It matches the Rfam family "Bacterial small subunit ribosomal RNA", at positions 29 to 507 of the family's 1533-position model. The record is from RNAcentral.
AUGAACGCUGGCGGCGUGCCUAAUACAUGCAAGUCGAGCGAACAGACGAGGAGCUUGCUCCUCUGACGUUAGCGGCGGACGGGUGAGUAACACGUGGAUAACCUACCUAUAAGACUGGGAUAACUUCGGGAAACCGGAGCUAAUACCGGAUAAUAUAUUGAACCGCCUGGUUCAAUAGUGAAAGACGGUUUUGCUGUCACUUAUAGAUGGAUCCGCGCCGCAUUAGCUAGUUGGUAAGGUAACGGCUUACCAAGGCGACGAUGCGUAGCCGACCUGAGAGGGUGAUCGGCCACACGGGAACUGAGACACGGUCCAGACUCCUACGGGAGGCAGCAGUAGGGAAUCUUCCGCAAUGGGCGAAAGCCUGACGGAGCAACGCCGCGUGAGUGAUGAAGGUCUUCGGAUCGUAAAACUCUGUUAUUAGGGAAGAACAAAUGUGUAAGUAACUAUGCACGUCUUGACGGUACCUAAUCAGAAAGCCACGGCUAACUACGUG